CCCCCUCAGCAAUGGUCAAAGAGACACUUUGCAGGUGGUAGCCUUCUUAUACCAGUCAAGGGCAAAUCAGCUGGCAGUCCUUUGUUUGCCCUAGAUUGAUGCCUGGAUUGGUGGCCAAAGCUGUCUUACGCCUAGGACUCAUAA
Apodemus sylvaticus (European woodmouse) is the source of this 144-nucleotide small nucleolar RNA. RefSeq annotates it as small nucleolar RNA SNORA48. Lineage: Eukaryota; Metazoa; Chordata; Mammalia; Rodentia; Muridae. The transcript has a single exon. The record is from RefSeq and is a predicted model, not a curated record.